AAAGACUUAAGUUAACUUUAAACUAAAAGCCUUCAAAGCUUAAAUUGGCGACAACCAGUCUUUA
Molecule: transfer RNA, 64 nt
Filed under: Lens contradens
Lineage: Eukaryota; Metazoa; Mollusca; Bivalvia; Unionida; Unionidae
Description: tRNA-Trp
Source: RNAcentral